UACGUAGGGCGCAAGCGUUGUCCGGAAUUAUUGGACGUAAAGAGCUCGUAGGCGGUUUGUCGCGUCGUCUGUGAAAACCCACGGCUCAACUGUGGGCUUGCAGUCGAUACGGGCAGGCUAGAGUUCGGUAGGGGAGACUGGAAUUCCUGGUGUAGCGGUGAAAUGCGCAGAUAUCAGGAGGAACACCGGUGGCGAAGGCGGGUCUCUGGGCCGAUACUGACGCUGAGGAGCGAAAGCGUGGGGAGCGAACAGG
This 253-nucleotide ribosomal RNA is filed under the name uncultured bacterium. Its description in RNAcentral is "partial 16S ribosomal RNA". It matches the Rfam family "Bacterial small subunit ribosomal RNA", at positions 524 to 776 of the family's 1533-position model. The record is from RNAcentral.